RNAcentral lists this long non-coding RNA (2366 nucleotides) under Sus scrofa (pig). Its description in RNAcentral is "lncRNA (ENSSSCG00050024228.1)". Lineage: Eukaryota; Metazoa; Chordata; Mammalia; Artiodactyla; Suidae. The record is from RNAcentral.
CUCCUGUACCCUGCCCAGGAUUUCCGCCUCAAACACCCCUUGCACAUUUAAUUGCUUCUUCUUAUCUUCCUCAAAGCUGACCCAAACUAAUAGGUGACGCUGAUGAUACGGACAGCAAUUACAGGAGCAGUUACACUUCACUGUGUGUGUGUUAUGUGCCAGGCACUGUGCUUACACAAGCAGUUUCCUGGCGGUGAUGACAGCUGACUUUCUUGAGUGUGUUGGAGGACCAUGCAUUACAGCUUUACGUGGCGUGUCUUCAUAAAAUCCAAGGUGAGUAAUGACCUGCCAUGCUCCUGAUUUUACAGAUGUGGAGCUAAAUUAAGUAGUUGCUCAAGGUUAUACAUGUAGUAGGUGGUACAGAGUGAUUCAAACCCUGGUUUGUCCGACUCCAAGGCCCCAUUGCCCAUGUGUCAGAUGUUUGUGCACUCCCUUCCCAGUUUCUACCACACCCAGACACACACAGAGCAUCCCCAUGACUUAUUGAUGAAUGGCACAUGUACAAUUGUUUACUUAAUAUUUUUCUUUAACUGAUUCUUAAAACCUGAAUAUAUUUCUUUGAAAAGGAAACAUAAUAGCCCUAAAAUCAAUGGGAAACUGCUAUCCCCUUCUAUAAAUUAAAGCUUUUUUUUUUCUUUUUUAGGGUCGCACCCUUGGCAUAUGGAGGUUCCCAGGCUAGGGGUCCAAUCGGAGCUACAGCUGCAGGCCUAUGCCACAGCCACAGCAACGCCAGAUCCAAGCCACGUCUGUGACCUACACCACAACUCACAGCAACACUGGAUCCUUAACCCACUGAGCGAGGCCAGGGAUCCAUCCCGAAACCUCAUGGUUUCUAGUUGAUUCAUUUCUGCUGCGCCACGACUGCAACUCCACGAAGAUAUAUAUUUUUUCCUGACAAAACCAGAAAGAUUGAAAAAAAAUUAAAAAGGGACUAAGUUUCUCGGUCUGUGACUCAGUGCUCUUUAACGCUCUGUCUGCCCAUCCCUAAAACCCUUCUGGUGGUAUGCUUUGGGAAAUAAUGACUACCAGGAAAGUGGAGAAUGCUCCUUUGGAUGGAAAAACAAUUUUAUACAAUUGUCCCUUGCCCCCCAAAGAAAAGAAAAAAAUCAAUUUCACUCCUUUUCAGCCUCCGCGGGUUCUCAGUGCACACAGUUGUACCCUCUGGUUUAUCUGGAGGGUGCAAUCUUUCAAAAGUCAAACAAACCCGAGCCUGCAGCAGGAGUGAACGCUGCUUUUUGGGCAGGUGUAUCCGGUAGAGAAACAAAACACUGCUCUCUGUGGUUAGGUGGCCUGGUGCACUGGAGUUCAGCGCAUUCACAAAUCAGCCGCCCUGGAGGGGGCUGAACCACACACUCCGACAGUGUGGGGCCUGCCUGAAAACCUCCCAGUCUCUUUGUUUUGGGAAGGCAGGGACCUGAGCCACAUUGGUGGGAGAGGGUGGGCCAUCCCCUCUGCAUAGGGCCCUUUCCAGUUACUGCCUCCAAGUUACUCGUCGAGACAGUGGGAAAAUCCUGCUGCAAUAGAUCACACAGCUUUCCUGCAGUGUAAAUUCAUGUCAGGAAAUCAUACCCCACUCUCCAGGGUUUCACCCAAAAAGAAGAGACCAGAAUCUGUCCUCUGGAGAUUGGAAAGUGCCUUAAACUCAGCAAGGAGGUGGAGAGGGCGUGUCACCGACCCUCCUUUCUAACUCUGAGUUCUGAAUCAAUUUCCAUUGUGUGUGUGUUUGUAUUUGGUUAGGCAAGUGGUUGGCAAAUUUGGCGGGGCCUGGAAAUCAAGAAAGGCCUGUGGCACCACAGUGGAAAAGGCUGGGAGGCUUCCAUUUAUUAUCACAAAGUCCCAGUCUUGAGCCCACUUUACUGAUGGGAACGUAGAAUCACAACUGAAAUGAGAUCUGAUAGUGAGCCUAUGGCUGAUUCUUCAUUCUGUACUUCUGUCGACCUCUGGAUCUUUGGCAUAUCAUCCUAUUGAAUAAGUCACCAUCCUAAAAUGUAAGUAGUAGAGGAGGAGGAAGAAUCGUGAACAUUUGCUAAGAGCCAAACCCUUUAAAUGCCUCCUCCCAUUUAAUGCUAAAACCUCUGCGGGAGUCUGAUUUAUUUGUCAUCCCCUCUCUGCUAGUAAGAAAAUUGAAACACAAAAAGUUAAUUAUUGGGAGUUCCCUUCGGGGCUCAGUGGUUAACGAACCCAAGUCAGAUCCAUGAGGUUGAGGGUUCAAUCCCUGGCCGUGGUCAGUGGAUUAAGGAUCCGGUGUUGCCAUGAGCGGUGGUAUAGGUCGCAGACAGGGCUCGGAUCCUGCAUUGCUGUAGCUGUGGUGUAGGCCGGCAGCUGUAGCUCCAAUUGGACCCCUAGCCUGGGAACCUCCAUAUGCC